GGGUCAGAACUCUCUGUGAUGUCAUCCUAUCCUUUGGAAUCUGUAUUCUUCUUCUAAGUGCAGUACUGUACUUUUUAUAAAAUAACUCUUGCAGAUGGGAGAAUUUUUAUGGGUAGAAUUUGGGACAUGGGUUCAUUUCAUCUUUCUUGACACCUCCUCCAGCUCCAACUUCCUCCUCCUUUAAGUGCAUACACCUGAAUCACCACCUCCACUUGCAAACUCUUCCUGGUUAGAGCAACUAUCCGUAUGGUGCUCAGCUUCCAGAUGGAGAAUUGUCUAGAUAUUGAAAAGGAAACCAACCUUCAUGGAUUACAGGCAGCCUUAGUGGGAGCCCUCCCUUUCCCCUUGGUGUUGUGAUGAGGGGAGCUUCAACACUGACAGCAACAACCACUCCAAGCCUAAUAGAUUGUGUGUCCUGCUUUUCUCAAAGCCCAGACUGUGCACUCUCCUAUUACAUGGUGGAAUUGUUGAGAAGUAACAUGGUGGAGUUGGGAAGGAUCUCAUGGCUUCUUCCAUCAAUGAGAGCCUCAUAUGACUAA
RNAcentral lists this long non-coding RNA (539 nucleotides) under Fukomys damarensis (Damara mole-rat). RNAcentral's name for it is "lncRNA (ENSFDAG00000028866.1)". Lineage: Eukaryota; Metazoa; Chordata; Mammalia; Rodentia; Bathyergidae. The record is from RNAcentral.